AGGGGGGAAGGGAGGGGGAGCCAGGCGGCCGCCUGUCCUGCCCACCUGGGCAGCCAUCCAGUCAGCUCCUGGCCCCGAGACUGGCACAGCCUGGGGCCCUGGUGCGGCUGGGAGUGGGAGCAGAUUGUCGUCUGGAACCGAUCUCGGUCCCCUUACCUGGAGGAGCCCCAGCUGGAGUAGCAGGACACAGGGUCCGAAGUCCGGCGCUGUCUAGGAACCUCAGCAGGUGCCAGGGGAGAGACAAACUCUACAGCCCCGAAAGCGAAGAUCUAGAGUCCUCAUGACCUGGGAGGGAGAAGCUGGGACCUGGAAGAUCAGAGAAAAGGGACUCGCCAACGCUUCCCCACACCCCUUCCCAAACCUGUUUUCCUGGAAAAAAACCAGAGUGGACUACGUGAAGAAGUGGGGAAAGAGGCAAGGUCACCUGACCCACUGGAUAUCUUGUGAAAAACAAGGUAGACAAUUCACUCAAUCAAUCCUUCAUUUGCUCAACUAAUAUCUGUUAAGUACCUACUCUGUGCCAACCGCAUGCUUGGCACUGGGGAUACAAUGAGCAACAAAACAGAUCCCACCGUUAUCUUCAUGCAGCCCAAUCAGGGAGACUGAUGUUAAUCAAAGAACCAGGGCUUCCCUGGUGGUCCGGUCAUUAAGAAUCCACCUUACAAUGCAAGGACGUCAAUUCAACCCCUGGUCUAGGAAGAGCCCACGUGCCAUGGAGCACCUAAGCCUGUGUACCACAACUACUAAAGCCCGCAUAC
This is a long non-coding RNA of Cervus elaphus (red deer), 758 nucleotides long. RefSeq lists it as uncharacterized. NCBI's taxonomy places the organism in Eukaryota, Metazoa, Chordata, Mammalia, Artiodactyla, Cervidae. The record is from RefSeq and is a predicted model, not a curated record. The transcript is spliced from 3 exons.